RNAcentral lists this ribosomal RNA (433 nucleotides) under uncultured bacterium. RNAcentral describes it as "partial 16S ribosomal RNA". It matches the Rfam family "Bacterial small subunit ribosomal RNA", at positions 29 to 507 of the family's 1533-position model. The record is from RNAcentral.
AACGAACGCUGGCGGCAUGCCUAAUACAUGCAAGUCGAACGAGAUCUUCGGAUCUAGUGGCGCACGGGUGCGUAACGCGUGGGAAUCUGCCCUUGGGUUCGGAAUAACUUCUGGAAACGGAAGCUAAUACCGGAUGAUGACGUAAGUCCAAAGAUUUAUCGCCCAAGGAUGAGCCCGCGUAGGAUUAGGUAGUUGGUGAGGUAAAGGCUCACCACGCCGUCGAUCCUUAGCUGGUCAGAGAGGCUGAUCAGCCACACUGGGACUGAGACACGGCCCAGACUCCUACGGGAGGCAGCAGUAGGGAAUAUUGGACAAUGGGCGGAAGCCUGAUCCAGCAAUGCCGCGUGAGUGAUGAAGGCCUUAGGGUUGUAAAGCUCUUUUACCCGGGAUGAUAAUGACAGUACCGGGAGAAUAAGCGCCGGCUAACUCCGUG